Gossypium arboreum is the source of this 1513-nucleotide long non-coding RNA. RefSeq lists it as uncharacterized. NCBI's taxonomy places the organism in Eukaryota, Viridiplantae, Streptophyta, Magnoliopsida, Malvales, Malvaceae. The transcript has 2 exons. The record is from RefSeq and is a predicted model, not a curated record.
AUUUUUGCUAAAAUUUCUCUUUACCUUAUUUUGUGCUGCCCAAACCUUGAACCCUAGUUAUAAAUACAACUUUUUCUUAUAUUUUUUAGCCUUUAAUUCAAACUUCCCUACCCUAGUCGUUCACUCUCUUCCUCUCAUCUUUUCUCUUCAAUUUUAUUUAUUUAUUUCUUUCUUUGUGUGCUGCCACCAAAGCCACCAAGAUUCACCAUUAAUUUCUCUUCUUUUUAAAAGGGGUUCUUGUACCAUUAUUUUUGUUUUCUUUAUGUCAUUUUAUCAUAAAAUUUUCAGCCUUAAAUUUGAAAUUUUAGCACUCAAGAUCAGCCUCCAUUGAUGCCCAAAAGAACUCCAUUGUCCUCUAUCUUCUUUCUUGAUGUUUAACUUUUCAGGUAAACCUUGAAACUAGGACCAAACCUGACAUACGAAGGAUCACCUUGGACCUUAGUCUAUUUUUAAUAAGUUGUCUUCUCACAUUAUAAUCUAUCGAUAUAAUGCAACUUAUUAUUAGUUAAAUUUAGGCAAUCAAUGAGUCAAUAUUUGCUUAUCCAUUUUGUUUUUCAUGAAAAAACAAUUGAAACAUUCAUAAAGAGGAUUUUAAAUAAAAAUAUGGUAACGUUUAUUUAUCCAAUAAAUUCAGAAAAUUACAAGUAGACUAUGAUGAAAUCACUACGCAAAGAGUACAAAUCCAAACAUCAAAGGGGGAUGAGGCCCCUUUCCUUGGCCAUUUUUUCAUCAAGUGGGAUGAUACCUCUUAGCUUCGCCAUCAUUAGGAUCCAAUGAAGGAUCUGACUCCUUGCCUUAGCCAUUUUCUCAACAAAGAGGAUAAGACCUCUCACCUUGGUCUUUAUUAGGAUUUAGGGGGGACAAGGACCCUAGUAAGCUAUCAAGCUGUAUAAGGGAUAGAAGAGUUUGGAAAAUAAGUUGCUCUUCUUCUUUAACUCCCUUCAUGCUUUCACUCAGGUGCUUCUGCUCAUGCCCUUUUAAUCAACAAUGAUAGGAUUGUUGGGAUCUAGUGCCCUUAGUGUGUAAUUUUUCAAAUAGUUUGGUUUAAUAAAACUCCAUUAUUCACAUUAUUAUUCUUUGUAUUUGUUCUUAAUGUUGGUUGCACGCAAAGCAAAAUGUAUAAGCAAAUAUUGACUCAUUGAUUAUCUAAUGUUUAACUAAUAUUAAGUUGCAUAAUAUGGUUGAAUCACAAUGCGAGAAGACAACUUAUAUUAAUAGGUAAUCUAAAUGGUCUAUAGUUUAAAGAAUCAAAAUUGAGGGAAUUGAUUAAACAACUAUUAUGCCGUCUAUCAAGUUCAAUUUGAGACAUAGGUGUAAUUGUCUGGAUUGAAGAUACAUCAAACAAGACCCAAGUUGAAAUUAUCCUAGUUCUAUAUAUGGAUUUAUUCACUUGUGAUGUUCAUAGUGUGGCUUACCUCAAUCCUAAGUAUGUGAUUGACUAUAUGUGCAUGGCUCAUAUACUUUUAUGUAUUAAAAACCUAAGUUCAAUUGAUAAGAGAGCAAAAAGUUGGUA